AUGAAGUAAGCUCAAAAACAAAAAUCAGGCAAGCGUUUUUAGGUUUUGAUGUGGGUGAUGUGAUAUGUGAGGCAAAUCUUCGUAAAUUUGUUUUUAUAUUAGUUUAAUUGACUAUUUCACAUGGUGUCCUACGGAAGUAAGUGACAGCAAAUUUUCGCGCAUUUUCAAAGAGAGUUAUAGAUUUGACUGAAGCAGUAGAGCUCAUUUUUUGUCCUAAUGGUGAAAUAUCAGAUGUAAGCGACAUUGAUGAUGGUGAUGAUGAGCUGGAAGAUAUUUUCCAUGCUGAGGAUCCAGAUUUUGUUGCCCUUCCAGACAACAUUGAAAUUCAUGCAGUUCAUGAAGAUAGUGAAGUGAGUGAUAUUGAAGAUGAUGAUGAACCUGUAAGGCGAUCUAAACCAGCAAAGCGAUGCAAGACAAAAAAGUGUAAAUGGCAACAGAAAGAUGUUCCUUUUCCCGAAAACCAUUUCAAUGAUACAUUCCCAGAUCCACCUGAACAACUGCAUUCCUCUUUGGAAUAUUUCAACAUGUUCAUUGAUUUUGAAA
This is a long non-coding RNA of Xenia sp. Carnegie-2017, 543 nucleotides long. RefSeq lists it as uncharacterized. Lineage: Eukaryota; Metazoa; Cnidaria; Anthozoa; Malacalcyonacea; Xeniidae. The record is from RefSeq and is a predicted model, not a curated record. The transcript has 2 exons.